Chroicocephalus ridibundus (black-headed gull) is the source of this 989-nucleotide long non-coding RNA. RefSeq lists it as uncharacterized. Lineage: Eukaryota; Metazoa; Chordata; Aves; Charadriiformes; Laridae. The record is from RefSeq and is a predicted model, not a curated record. The transcript has 7 exons.
CCAGUUUACUGGUGCCAGGCAGAGCGUGUGCCUCUUCGUGGGGUGAAGGCAGCCGGGAAAGGAAGUGGGAUGAGGAGGGGGAGACAGCUACAACUACUCCCAGUGACAAUGUGGAGCUGCUGAGCGGCAGCAGCCAGCAGCUUGAUGCUGCUUUUCUGCUCAGAAAAGAGACCAGGCGACUGAGAAAGUGACAUUCCCUUCAUUUGGGAUUCAAGCCUGUCUCAAAAGAUCCAACACUAGUUUGAUCUUGUUUUCCUCUGCUGGUCUUAUCCCAUUGUCAGCUAGUGAGAGAGAUGGACAAGAAACUGGCUUUAUCAGGAGCAGAGUUCUUCUUUUGUUCUCCAGAAUUCCGACGGGCUUGGCUUCUAAUGGUCUUUGCUCAACCUGUGCGUGGAUAAGCAGUCCCUUAGCAGGCAGAAACUGGCAGAAAGCAUUUGCCUAUGGCUGGCAAGCUGGGCGAAGAGGAAAGUCCUGGAAAAAGACCCUUCGUGACUGACUCCUGCAAGGGGCCCUGGUCUGUAAGAUCACCAGGCGAAAGUGCUGCUGCCGUCUUUGUGAAGCCGGAGCCCUGUCAUGUCCCUGGCAGGAAGGAGGGGGCUUUGGUUCACUUGGUUGCUUCCAGAGAAGAUGCAUGCCCUGGGCUUUUCCACACCAAUUGGCCUCUUUCAACGUCCGACAAGCAGAAUGUUACAAGGUGGCCCAGGGCUUCCUGCUGCUGCCUAACCAUCAGUUUUGUUUCAAAGAAGGAACAAAAGGCUCGAUCCAUGAUAGCAGCAGGCAGGGAUUGACACGUUACCCCGGCUGGUGCGGCAUGCACUCCGUGGAGUGACAAGAAAUUUGGCUCAGUUCAGCUGCAGAUGAAUGCUGUAACUUUCCAUGGAAACUACUGGAUUGAUCUCUACCUUUGGCUACAGCUGGUGUCACGGCUUUAGAUUUCUCUUCUGUGAUGAGAGCUGCUCAGUGGACCAUUGCACUGGAGACAAAGGAGG